RNAcentral lists this ribosomal RNA (423 nucleotides) under uncultured bacterium. Its description in RNAcentral is "partial 16S ribosomal RNA". It matches the Rfam family "Bacterial small subunit ribosomal RNA", at positions 354 to 796 of the family's 1533-position model. The record is from RNAcentral.
GUAGGGAAUCUUGCGCAAUGGGCGAAAGCCUGACGCAGCCAUGCCGCGUGAAUGAUGAAGGUCUUAGGAUUGUAAAAUUCUUUCACCGGGGACGAUAAUGACGGUACCCGGAGAAGAAGCCCCGGCUAACUUCGUGCCAGCAGCCGCGGUAAUACGAAGGGGGCUAGCGUUGCUCGGAAUUACUGGGCGAAAAGGGAGCGUAGGCGGAUAGUUUAGUCAGAGGUGAAAGCCCAGGGCUCAACCUUGGAAUUGCCUUUGAUACUGGCUAUCUUGAGUAUGAGAGGUAUGUGGAACUCCGAGUGUAGAGGUGAAAUUCGUAGAUAUUCGGAAGAACACCAGUGGCGAAGGCGACAUACUGGUCCAUUACUGACGCUGAGGCUCGAAAGCGUGGGGAGCAAACAGGAUUAGAUACCCGUGUAGUCC